UAAUACCGGAUAGAUCAAAGAUACUGGAAUGUUCCUUGAUCCAAAGCUCCGGCGUCCAAGGAUGGAUCUGCGGCUUAUCAGGUAGUAGUGGGUGUAACGUACCUACUAGCCUACGACGAGUACGGGUUGUGAGAGCAAGAGCCCGGAGAUGGAUUCUGAGACAUGAAUCCAGGCCCUACGGGGCGCAGCAGGCGCGAAAUCUUUACAAUGCAGGAAACUGCGAUAAGGGGACCCCGAGUGCCAGCAUCUAAUGCUGGCUGUCCAGCUGUGUAAAUAGCAGUUGUUAGCAAGGGCCGGGCAAGGCCGGUGCCAGCCGCCGCGGUAACACCGGCGGCCCGAGUGGUAACCGAUUUUAUUGGGUUUAAAGGGUCCGUAGCCGGCCUGUUAAGUCUCUUGGGAAAUCUGGCGGCUCAAUCGUCAGGCGUUC
Molecule: ribosomal RNA, 427 nt
Filed under: uncultured archaeon
Lineage: Archaea
Description: bacterial SSU rRNA
Rfam family: Archaeal small subunit ribosomal RNA
Source: RNAcentral